CCCUUAGAUGUUCUGGGCCGCACGCGCGCUACACUGAUGCAUUCAACGAGUCCAACCUUGACCGAGAGGUCCGGGUAAUCUUUGAAACUGCAUCGUGAUGGGGCUAGAUUAUUGCAAUUAUUAAUCUUCAACGAGGAAUGCCUAGUAAGCGUGAUUCAUCAAAUCGCGUUGAUUACGUCCCUGCCCUUUGUACACACCGCCCGUCGCUCCUACCGAUUGAGUGUGUUGGUGAGGAGUUUGGAUUGGUCUCGGAAGGUGGUUCGCCACCGUCCGUAGCUGAGAAGUUCUCCAAACCGCCCCACUUAGAGGAAGGAGAAGUCGUAACA
This 326-nucleotide ribosomal RNA is filed under the name uncultured eukaryote. Its description in RNAcentral is "partial 18S ribosomal RNA". It matches the Rfam family "Eukaryotic small subunit ribosomal RNA", at positions 1470 to 1796 of the family's 1831-position model. The record is from RNAcentral.